This 466-nucleotide ribosomal RNA is filed under the name uncultured bacterium. RNAcentral describes it as "partial 16S ribosomal RNA". It matches the Rfam family "Bacterial small subunit ribosomal RNA", at positions 28 to 507 of the family's 1533-position model. The record is from RNAcentral.
GAUGAACGCUGGCGGCGUGCUUAACACAUGCAAGUCGAACGACGAAGCCCAGCUUGCUGGGUGGCUUCGCGGCGAACGUGUGAGUAACACGUGAGUAACCUGCCCUUAACUCUGGGAUAAGCCUGGGAAACUGGGUCUAAUACCGGAUAGGAGCGUCCACCGUACGGUGGGUGUUGUAAAGAUUUAUCGCUUUUGGAUGGACUCGCGGCCUAUCAGCUUGUUGGUGUGGUAAUGGCUCACCAAGGCGACGACGGGUAGCCGGCCUGAGAGGGUGACCGGCCACACGGGGACUGAGAGACGGCGCAGACUCCUACGGGAGGCAGCAGUGGGGAAUAUUGCACAAUGGGCGCAAGCCUGAGGAAGAGGCGCCGCGGGAGGGAUGAAGGCCUGCGGGGUGUGAACCUCGUUGAGUGGAGAAAAAGCGAAAGUGACGGUACCUGCAGAAGAAGCACCGGCUAACUAAGUG